Long non-coding RNA from Solanum dulcamara, 1412 nucleotides. RefSeq lists it as uncharacterized. The transcript has 3 exons. The record is from RefSeq and is a predicted model, not a curated record. Lineage: Eukaryota; Viridiplantae; Streptophyta; Magnoliopsida; Solanales; Solanaceae.
UAUACGAGGCAAGGUGGGAAUGAUAUCCGUGACAGACAAUAUGAAGGAAGUGAGGUUGAGAUGGUUCAGCCAUGUGAAGAGGAGGUGUGCGGAUGAGGUUGAUUGUAGCAGGAGUUAGGAGAGGUAGAGGUCGCCGAAAAAGAAUUAGGGGGAGGUGAUUAGACAAGACAUGGCAUAACUUCAGUUUUCUAAGGACAUAUGGAGGUCGAGAAUUAGGAUAGAUGAUUAGUAAGCUGAGUGUGGUCGCUCAUUAGUUGGGAGAGGCAGGGGGCUAACCUCAUAUCCUCUUGUCUCGUUUAUUAGUAGUAUUUAGUAAUCGCAUAAUUUCUUUUUUUCAAUGUUGUUUGCUAUCUGGUGAUUUGCUUUGCUAUGUAGCUUGAUAUUUUGCUGUCAUUUUUUUUUCUUCCUGCAAUCUUUUUCCGAAUAACUUCACUUUUUGAGCCGAGAGUCUGUCAGAAACAACCUUUUUAUCCCACAACGGUAGGGGCUUAGUCUGCAUACAUCUGACCCCCUCCAGACCCCACUUGUGGAAUUAAACUGGGUAUGUUCUUAUUGUUGUUUGGUAUCUAUAAAGGGGCAAAUGCCUCUUAGGUAGAGCAUCUUGGUAUGGCACGAAAGAAUCUUUGUUUGGUAUAUACAAAGGGAUUACACUGUGUACAAAUGCAUCUUGGUAUAUAAAAAAGGACAAAUGCAUUUUCAAUUUUUUUUUACUAAAUACACAUAUAUACAAUAAAAUUGAAAUGCUUAGACAACUUUACCUCUUAAUGCUACUAUUGGAUAAAAUAGAUGAUGUGGCAUGAAAGAAUAUUUGUUGUGACAAUUUUACCUCUUAAUGCUGCUUUUGGAUAAAAUAGAUGAUAUGGCAUGAAAGAAUAUUUGUUGUGGCUGUCAAUCAGAUCAAAAAAGUAAAGAUGUUUGGCAAAUGGCAUUGCAGAAAUAGAUACAUAAACUCCUAAGGAUCUGAAAAGGCCUCAAAUCCACAAAAAAAACUGAGGAUCUUAUGAGUUGUGUAAAAAGUGCUGAGUUUCAGGCUUUCAGCGAAUGGAAGAGAAGAAAUAGGUACUAAAGUGUCAUGAUCAAGAGGGACCUCAAACUUGAAAGGCUUAGCCAGGCUCUAAUGACUUCUGUGGAACAACUUCAAUGUUCUUGCUGAGAGAGAAUCUACUCUUUUCACCUUUAUGGGUGAUGUUGGAUUAUGUGGUAAUUUGUUAAAAGUGAGCAUGGCGCAUCCAUAAACCUCGAAGCUAGAUGCAUCACAAGCUUGGUGCUCUGCGUUGCUUAGGCAGUGUAAGUACCAUUUUCGGCAAAAAUAUUGCAUCAGUGCUUUCCUAUCCUUGGAGAAGUGGACUUUUUAUUCUUUGUCUUCAGUGAUGGGACAUUCAUUGUACUGAAGGAGAAUCUGGGAAGAGGCC